AUGGCUUCACUAAGAGUUUUCCUCGUUUUGUUGCUUCAGGCUGAAGGCAUCAGAGGAGGCAUCUCUUACUGUGAUCUCUAUCAGAGACCUGGAGAUGAUGUCUUGUUACCCUGUCUUCAGGUGUCAUUAACGAAGACCAGAUGUUCAGAUAUUGACUGGUUUUACAACAAACAGCGAAGAAGAACUUUUCUUGAUGUUGAUGAUGGAGAAGUUGUGAAGAGCUCACCCCGAGCUGCCAGACUGAGUCUGCACACCAACUGCUCUCUGAUCAUCAAUAACAUCACAGCUGAGGACGCUGGUCAGUACACCUGUCGAUAUUUGAGGGACUCUACCUGGGACACACAGGUGUUUCUCAACAUUUUGACAAUUUCACCGUCAUCUACAGACACCGAUCCAAAUAGAGACGGAGACGUGACAUUAAGUUGCUCCCUGUUCAAAUUUGGAGGAUGGUGUGAACCCAGGAGUGUCCGCUGGGUGGAUGAGACGGGAGCUGAGCUGGUUGGUGAAGGUGAUGGUUUCAGGUAUGGAGGACAGACAAACUGUGUUUCUUAUCUGACUGUGAAGAAUCAGGCUGAACACAGCAGAAGAUACACCUGCCAGUAUGUUGAUGAAACAGGUGUGAAGAUCCAGGCUCUCUACUCAGCUGUGUCCUCAGUGUCACCAACAGGUGAGGACUCAAACACACACACGACUCACUGAACCUUUGACAAUGUGUUUUUCUACAUCAGGGUUUUCAGAUUACAGAAAAAUCAC
Molecule: long non-coding RNA, 753 nt
Filed under: Salarias fasciatus (jewelled blenny)
Lineage: Eukaryota; Metazoa; Chordata; Actinopteri; Blenniiformes; Blenniidae
Description: lncRNA (ENSSFAG00005010569.1)
Source: RNAcentral